UACGUAGGGUGCGAGCGUUGUCCGGAAUUACUGGGCGUAAAGAGCUCGUAGGUGGUUUGUCGCGUUGUUCGUGAAAACUCACAGCUUAACUGUGGGCGUGCGGGCGAUACGGGCAGACUGGAGUACUGCAGGGGAGACUGGAAUUCCUGGUGUAGCGGUGGAAUGCGCAGAUAUCAGGAGGAACACCGGUGGCGAAGGCGGGUCUCUGGGCAGUAACUGACGCUGAGGAGCGAAAAGCGUGGGGAGCGAACAGG
This 254-nucleotide ribosomal RNA is filed under the name uncultured bacterium. Its description in RNAcentral is "partial 16S ribosomal RNA". It matches the Rfam family "Bacterial small subunit ribosomal RNA", at positions 524 to 776 of the family's 1533-position model. The record is from RNAcentral.